AUGAUCUUUUUUUAACCCUCACCAAGCGUCUUUUUGUGCCUAAACCUAACCAGACCUUAACCAUAGCUUUGUCACACCAUAAAACAUAAUUAGUCUGUACAAUGACAAACAACGCACGCAAUGAAAGAACAACGUGUAUGACUCUCGCGAGAGUUUAGCAAAUCUAGGGUUACCGUCUAGACACGACCAGUCUAUUGGAGGACCGCUUUACAAACUGUUGCAUCAAUUUCUCGAGGUGUCCAGGUCCUGGAUGGCGGGCAGAUCGGCAUCGAUAAUCUUUUCUGCAGACCUGACUGUCCGUUGUGGUCUGUUCCUGUCUUGUUUGGUAGCCGACCCAAAGAAGACAGUGAUGGAUGUGCAGAGAACAGACUCCGUGACUACAGUGUAAAACUGGAUAUGAAAUGGAACGUGGUAGAUUAGUCACACACAAAGCAUCUCAAACACUGAUCCCCAGAGUUGAUGGUUCAUUGGAAGUGUUGUCACAGUUGCUCCGAACUGGAGGAAACCUUUGUCCAACUAUUGUCUGGAAGUUUAGUAGAUUACAAUUCUCACCAAUUACA
Molecule: long non-coding RNA, 560 nt
Organism: Thunnus maccoyii (southern bluefin tuna)
Lineage: Eukaryota; Metazoa; Chordata; Actinopteri; Scombriformes; Scombridae
Exons: 2
Source: RefSeq, a predicted model, not a curated record